This 1351-nucleotide ribosomal RNA is filed under the name metagenome. Its description in RNAcentral is "bacterial LSU rRNA". It matches the Rfam family "Bacterial large subunit ribosomal RNA", at positions 1564 to 2925 of the family's 2925-position model. The record is from RNAcentral.
CGAAUACGAGACGCUACGGCGUCGAAGUAGUGUAUGUCACACUUCCAAGAAAAGCUUGCACUGUCAUAAAUAAAAAUGCCUGUACCAUAACCGACACAGGUGGGUAGGUAGAGUAUACUAAGGGGCGCGAGAUAACUCUCUCUAAGGAACUCGGCAAAAUAACUCCGUAACUUCGGGAGAAGGAGUGCCUUAUUUACAUAAGGUUGCAAUAACAAGAUCCAAGCAACUGUUUACCAAAAACACAGGUCUCCGCUAAGUCGUAAGACGAUGUAUGGGGGCUGACGCCUGCCCAGUGCCAGAAGGUUAAAGAAGUUGGUUAGCAUCUGCGAAGCUGAUAACUGAAGCCCUGGUGAACGGCGGCCGUAACCAUAACGGUCCUAAGGUAGCGAAAUUCCUUGUCGGGUAAGUUCCGACCCGCACGAAAGGCGUAAUGAUUUGGAUACUGUCUCGGAGAGGGGCUCGGUGAAAUAGACUUGUCUGUGAAGAUGCGGACUACCUGCACCUGGACAGAAAGACCCUAUGAAGCUUUACUGUAACUUGAAAUUGAAAUUGGACUUUAUUCGCGCAGCAUAGGUGGGAGGCUUUGAAGAUACUCUUGCGGGAGUAUUCGAGCUAUCAGUGAGAUACCACUCUUAUAAUGUUAGAUUUCUAACUUUGAACCAUUAUCUGGUCAAAGAACAGUUUCAGGCGGGCAGUUUGACUGGGGCGGUCGCCUCCUAAACGGUAACGGAGGCGUACAAAGGUUUCCUCUGAACGGAUAGAAAUCGUAUCUAGAGUAUAAAGGCAUAAGGAAGCUUGACUGUUAGACCUACAAGUCGAGCAGGGACGAAAGUCGGUCUUAGUGAUCUGACGGUACUGAGUGGAAAGGCCGUCACUCAACGGAUAAAAGUUACUCUAGGAUAACAGGCUGAUCUCCCCCAAGAGUUCACAUCGACGGGGAGGUUUGGCACCUCGAUGUCGGCUCAUCGCAUCCUGGGGCGGUAGUACGUCCCAAGGGUUGGGCUGUUCGCCCAUGAAAGCGGUACGCGAGCUGGGUUCAGAACGUCGUGAGACAGUUCGGUCCAUAUCCGGUGUAGGCGUUAGAAUAUUGAGAGGAGCCUUCUCUAGUACGAGAGGACCGAGAAGGACAUACCUCUGGUGUACCAGUUAUCGUGCCAACGGUAAACGCUGGGUAGCUAUGUAUGGAGUGGAUAACCGCUGAAAGCAUCUAAGUGGGAAGCCUGCCUCAAGAUAAGAUCCCUCUGUCCGUAAGGACUUAAGAUCGCAGAUAGACUAUCUGUUAUAUAGGCAGCGUGUGUAAGCGCAGUAAUGCGUUGAGCUAAGCUGUACUAAUGAUUGAGGGCUGAUCUGC